RNAcentral lists this ribosomal RNA (491 nucleotides) under uncultured bacterium. Its description in RNAcentral is "partial 16S ribosomal RNA". It matches the Rfam family "Bacterial small subunit ribosomal RNA", at positions 29 to 507 of the family's 1533-position model. The record is from RNAcentral.
AGUGAACGCUGGCGGUAGGCCUAACACAUGCAAGUCGAACGGCAGCACAGUAAGAGCUUGCUCUUACGGGUGGCGAGUGGCGGACGGGUGAGGAAUACAUCGGAAUCUACUUUUUCGUGGGGGAUAACGUAGGGAAACUUACGCUAAUACCGCAUACGACCUACGGGUGAAAGCAGGGGAUCUUCGGACCUUGCGCGAUUGAAUGAGCCGAUGUCGGAUUAGCUAGUUGGCGGGGUAAAGGCCCACCAAGGCGACGAUCCGUAGCUGGUCUGAGAGGAUGAUCAGCCACACUGGAACUGAGACACGGUCCAGACUCCUACGGGAGGCAGCAGUGGGGAAUAUUGGACAAUGGGCGCAAGCCUGAUCCAGCCAUACCGCGGGGGUGAAGAAGGCCUUCGGGUUGUAAAGCCCUUUGUUGGGAAAGAAAAGCAGCAGGUUAAUACCCCGCUGUUCUGACGGUACCCAAAGAAUAAGCACCGGCGAACUUCGUG